This 7846-nucleotide long non-coding RNA is filed under the name Brachypodium distachyon (stiff brome). RNAcentral's name for it is "long non-coding RNA (BDIS_LNC004190)". Lineage: Eukaryota; Viridiplantae; Streptophyta; Magnoliopsida; Poales; Poaceae. The record is from RNAcentral.
UUCACUUAUAUUAUUUUUGGUUGUCCUGGUGAAGACACGCAUGUGUAGUUGUGCACCAAAGAAACAAGCUCCUCAAAAUCAAUCAUACACUGGUUCAUGUAUUAGUGAGAAGGAUUUGCAUGACUUGUGUAUCAUGCGCCUGCUACUACUUUCAAGCAAAUAGACUGAAAGUGGGACCCAUUGCAUGCUUGGAGAAAUUGAUCGAUCAGCUAACCUGGCCGGUUUAACAGCACGUAAGUUUUGAACCAUAUCCACACCCCAUAGUCCAUCAAUGCUGGGCGGAUAAGUCAAGCGUUUUGAAGAGUUAGAUGGAUAAGCAUACCGGCAGUUCGUAUGCUAAACGGCAGGAGUCCCGAUCGAUCUUUUAGGACGGGAGUUUGUUAGCUAACAACAAGAGCGGCGAGACCAAGGAUAAGGAGGGCUCGGGCCGGCUGCUCUCUUUUGGGGGGAGCAGGGCGGAGGAGCACCGCGGCGCCCUACACGAAGAGCCUACACGCAUCGCAGCUGGCUAAUCACAGCGCGUGCCCAAGGCGGCGGCGGCGGCAAGCUGCGGACGAAGAGAAAAGGAUAACUCCCAGAGCAGAACACAACACGAAGUACACGCAGAAGCAAAAGAAGUCCUUGAAGUGCUGCUGGUCUUGGGUCUUGCAUAUGCAUCAACGAGGAUGCCGUCUUCUCCUCCACCAUUCAUGGGUAUACGUAUACUUUUGUUUCUAUUGUUUUUUUCCUCGAUCCAGAUGCAGAUGCAGAGAUGAGGGCAGUAUGAGAAGAGAGCAGCGGGAGGAAGAUAGCUGGAGAGAGGCAGGCAAUCGGAGGAGCAGCACUAUGUCAAGAUAAAGAAGAGGAUCAGAAGAUAGAGGAGGAAGAAGCCAGGCGGCCACCUCCGGAAGAUGACUCAGAGGAGGAUAUUCAAGACAAGAUCGCGUCAGGCGACUGCUCCUGCAGGGAUUGCAGCAGAAGGAAGAUCCUUGAGAGAAGAUCAGCCGGAAGGUGCAGGUUGGCCGCCAAAGGGAUUAUCAAGCUGAUCGAUGCAGAGUGUUGCAGUUGUGUCAUCGAGUAGUCUUCAGUAUACUUGAUUACGAAGAAGAGUUAGAAGAUGGCAUACAAGGCUCCUGUACAGCGCCAGCAAGGAGAUCAUGCUCUUCAAUUUCCAGCGGUGCCUUCGUUUCAAGAGCAGAUCGUCGGGACGGCCUAACGGUCGAUCUCGCAUCUUCAACAAGAGAUAAGAGAUAGUUUUGGCGCCGUGUCGCUGCCACGGAUGGACCAUCGUACUCGUGUGCUUCUACAAAAUUCGUGAUGCUCGCGGCUCUACCUGGCACCGUGUCGUCGUCGCGGGCGGUUAUAAAAAAAAAGAUGUUUUAUGGCAUCCGUGGCUCUACCUGGUGCCGUGUCGCAGCCACGGAUGGAUCACCAUUGCCGUCUAUAAAUUUGUGAGGUCUGCGGCUUUACCCGGCGCCGUGUCGUCGUCGCGGACGGUUAAUAAAAAAAGAGAAAAAUAUACUAUGGCAUCCGUGGCUCUACCCGGCACCGCGUCGUCGCCACGGAUGGACCACCAUUGCCAUCUACAAAUUUGUGAGGUCCGCGGCUCUACCCGGCGCCGUUUUGUCGUCACAGACGGUUAAUAAAAAAAAAGAAAGAAAGAAAGAAAGAAAGAGAUACUAUGGCAUCCGUGGCUCUAUCCGGCGCCGUGUCGUCGCCACUGAUGGACCACACUGUUGUCAUAUGUUUCUACAAUCUUUGUGAUGUCCGCGGCUCAUCAUGAGUCGUGCGGACGGUCACUCUUCAUUUGUGAAGAAGAGGCAACAACUGCUAGGCAUCUCGUGUCUCCACCUGAAGAUCUUCAUUUCGUUCCCAAGGAUCGUCGAUUGGAAAGGGCAAAGCUCCAAGGUCACAUGUGCUCUAUGAAACAUGUGUACAUCAUGGCCGAUGGAUGGCAUACAUACACAUAAGAGAUUACUGCAAGAAGCCCUGCUUCAUAGGCCGAUCACAAGAACCAGAAAAUAGAGAUUAAUUCAUUGUUUGAAGCAUCAUUGUCUAGUCUUGUGUGCCUUCCGUGGCCACCAUCACCCUUCACAUGCUGAAUGUUGAAUAGAUGAAGCAAGAAAAGAUUAGUUGUGCAUUGUCAUACUGUUAGAUCAAGAUGAACUCCAAAGAGAAGUCAAGAGAUAUGUUGCUAGUCUGGUACAACCGAAUAUCUUCAUUGAUAUCCUGAUGGUCACGGUCGCUAAGAGCGCAGAUGAGACCAGAGGUUCAGAUUCUCAUAUCCGACCGACGAGGUUGGGUUUCAUGAUUUAAAUGUCAUCUGAUAUUAAUUCUCAUACGGCUAUACAUGAGACAAAAUCAUUGUAACACCCAUUUGUAUGUAAACAAUCAUAUAGUGGAUUUGGUCUCCGGGCCACCGUGGUUUUUUCCCGAUUUAGGGUUUCCACGUUAAAACAGGUGUCCCUUAUGUUUGUGUUACUUGAUUGGCUGCAUAACCUUGCGAUGAUCUGAGCUCAAAAUUUUAUAAAGAUGACCAUUGACACUUUGGUGUAGCUUAAUCAGAGGUGUUCUGCGAUUAUAUAUACUGCAGAUGUAAUUAACUGAAAUUCUUUCGAGAUUUCAGGAAUCAAGAAUCCUUGCAAUCGUCGAAGUCAGAUGAUUAUCCAGGCCGCACUUCAGAAAAUACAUGUGAAAAGGAAAUUUGUAAAUUGUCAAGAAUCGACAAAAUACAAGUUUUCCUAUUCCCAUUUGUUUAUAUCAGUUCAAUUUGUAUACUAUAGUAUACUGGCACGCCCGCACCCAAAACGCCAUAGCAGAUAAAUUUAAAUAUUUAUCUUGCAAAAACACCUACCUUAUGCAGAAUUCUCAUACAAGAACAGUUUCCAAGCCAGCAUUGGAAUGUCACCAUUUGAAGCACUAUACGGCAAGAAAUGCAGAACACCAUUGCUAUGGGAUGGAGUAGGGGACAGCAGCUUGUUCAGUCCUGACCUAGUAAAGGAUGCCGAGGAAAAGGUUAGACUGAUUCGGGACAGACUAAAGGUAGCUCAGUCAAGACAAAAGAGCUAUUCAGAUUCCAAACGUAGGGAAGUUACCUACGAGGCUGAGGAUAGAGCGUAUCUCAGAGUCUCACCGAUACGCGGAGUUAAGAGAUUUGGAAUAAAAGGGAAACUGGCACCCCGCUUCAUUGGACCUUUCAAAAUCUUGUCUCGCCAAGGAGAAGUAGCCUACAAGUUGGAGUUGCCGGAAGCCUUGGAAAGCGUGCACAACGUGUUCCAUGUUUCGCAACUAAAGAAAUGCCACCCUGAGAUGGCCGACACACCGUUGAGGGAUACGAUUCCGCUGGAAGAAGUGUAGAUUAAGAGUGACGUCACCUACGAGGAGAAACCUAUCAGAAUCCUGGAUACAGCAGAGAGGCACACCCGUUCCAAGACUAUCAAAUUCUGCCAGGUUCAGUGAGAUCACCACACCGAAGAGGAAGCUACCUGGGAACGUGAGGAAGAUCUCCGAGAAGACCACCCGCACCUCUUUACUAGCCAACCAGAAUCUCGAGGACGAGAUUCAUCUUAAGGGGGUUAGGUCUGUAACAUCCCAAAUUUUACAAACCUUUCAUCAUGCAUUUGCAUUCAUAAGCAUCAUGCCACCUAUGCAUUUUUGAAUCCCUUUUCAAAGCCUUCCUUAUUUCAAAUCUGAUUUUCACCUUCCUUUAGCAAACUGGAUUUUCAACCCAAUAGCGUUUUGAUCAUAAAAGGGGUUUAUUGCAUAAAUGAGCUACCCCAUAAUUUUUGGCAUUUAAGUUGGAGUUGAAAAACUAUUUUACUUUAUUUAUUAUAAAGCCCUAAAGGCAAGUAUACAAGCAAAAUUAUUUUUAAAUAUUUUAUUUUGGAAUAAAUCAAGUCCCAGAGGUUAAAGCAUUUGAGGAUUUGAUUUUACAAAUUUUUUGGAGUUUAUUUGGAUUGAUUUGGAGUUCCAAAUCAAAAGUUUUAAAAGAAAACAGAAGAAAAAGAAAAAGGAAAAAAAGAGAGAAGGAAACGGACCGGCCCGGCCAAAUGGGCCGAACCAGCCCGACUUACCUGCGUGCCAGCCCGCGCGUGCCCGAGCUGCCACUGACAGGUGGGACCCACCUGUUAGGGCUUUCGUUCCUGAAGGAAAGCCGCGCUAGUCACGCGCGCGACACCCGCGCGCCCUCCCCGGCAACUGACCUCACCGCGCCAUCGCCUCCGUGCCUCCCUCCACUUUCCUUGGGCGUUCCUAUAAAGCCAGCAGCCUCCUCUGCAUUUUUCCCUUUCCGAUUUCGCUCAUUCCGUGCCCACGCUGCCCUAAUUCAUCGCUGGAGCAAGCUCGCCGCCGCCCGUUUUUGGUCGCCGACAACGACACGGUGAGGCAUCUCCCUUAAGCCGAGCCACCUUCUUUCCUCUCUCUCUUGCGCAUCUUUUGAGACGGCCGCGAUUAGAUUUUGUUUUUUAAAUCGAACCGGUACGCAGAUCUGACUGUCGGAUCUCACUUAAGUUAGAUCCGACGGCCUGUGCUUUAUUUUGACCCCGAACCGGUACCGACCAAUCACAGCAUGCCACGUGUCCCUUGUUUAGGAUUAAACUUAAUUCCUCGGCCAAAUGAAUUUGUAACUUUGCAGAAAACCCCAUGGAACUUCAAAUGCUCAUAUAUUUUAAUUCAUUUGGCAAAAUUUAGUGUUCUACACCUUUUUGGAAAUCUCUCGGCCUGUAGAAUCUUUUGGAAUAGUUUAAUUGUAAAUUUGUGUAUUCUACACCCAGUCAAAUUACAGAAAGGUUUUUAAUGCCAUUUAAUUCAUAUAUUUUGUUUUACAAAUCCUUUUUGCAUGCAACCGACUCUAAAAAUUGUGUUUUGAUGCACUCUGUCCAGUAGGACCAGAGGAUUUUAAAUUAUUUUACUGUUGUUUUCGUAUAAAAACCUUGCUCUAUGCUUUUAAAACCCUCAUUUUAGAAUUUUGCCUUUAACUAGUGUAAUAAAUUUUUAUUGCUAAAUCUUUUUGGACCAGAGUUUUAUAACCUGUGAGUUAUGCAAAACUGAAAUCCCUUUUGUUAACUAAAAACCUAUCAACUCAUGUCACGUGCUUGCAUUGCAUCAUGGCAUAUUUUCUACUUGUGUAUGGUUUGUUUAUGUAUGUUUUAUUACUUCGUUUAGUUUUCUCGGAGAGCGAACCAUGUCACUGUGAAGAGUGCUUUAACGCUGACAACUACCAAGGCAAGUUCACUUUGAUCAUAAAUUUCUCAUUACAUUACUUACUUUAAAUACUUAUGCACUAGUGUUGUGUAGUUUGCAUUGAUAGGGUUAUUAUUCUUAUCUAUGCUAGCUAUAUUUUUGUCCUAGUAGAGUAGGAUACCUCUGCCGUUACCCUUCCACCAAUUGCCAUCGUUUGUAGUUGAGUGCUAUGCUAUGUUAGUAUAAGUGGGAUGGAAACUCAAUUACCAUGAAACUGAUAUUGUGGAGUAUUUUGGAAAUCUGGUAAAAACAACUUUAAUGAAUCAUCCUGGGUGGGCUGCUUUGAGUAUUUGAGAUGUAUGCGGCGGCAAGUCCAUUUUUAUGGGUCCAUUUCUACGAGUCGUCUCUCCAUAUCUAUGGGAGCGCCCACGUCGCAAAUGUGGGAUGCCACCCAAGGUAACCAGAGACUGGACUAGUUUCCAGUUUAGUAGAUUCUAGUAUAACCACAUGCUAAAUGGGUUCUGGCUUGAUGUAGUAGGUCAUAUGAUCCUGGGCCCGAGGUGAUCGUGAUGAUGUAGCCGUGUAGGUGGGAGCGGGUCCCUCGGUAUGGGUCUAGGUGAUUACUUCUGAAAAUUCUCGUAAUCGAUGCCGUUGCUACUCUACCCUGAGGAUAGCAAGGGAUUAACCCAUCGGUUUCUUGUGGGUAAAGUGUACAACCUCUCGAGAGUGUCAAACUAAGUACUUAGCCGUGUCCCCGGUUACGGACAAUUAUUGAGCAACUAGAUUUGGGGCUGUAAGAAAGGUCUCAAUCAUUCUAAUUUCUAAAUAAAAUGAAUGGUUCAAACUUGGGUUUGGAGCAUUGAUGUGUCUACUCAAUGUCCAUAGUUUAAUAGGAGCAUCGGUGUGUCUACCCGGUGUCCAAUAGUUUAAUAUUAUUGUAUCAUUCAAUUGUAGUAGGGUAAAUUUAUGUUCUGCUUUCACGCAAAAAGCCUGAACUCCACCUUGCCAUAUACUGCAUGUACAUUGUUAGGUCUGUUAAAAUUACCAGGUGAACUUGCCAAGACGUUCAAUGUAUUGACCACGUAGUGGCUGCAAUUAAAUAAUGCAAGUGGAUCAGACGACGAGUGAGGUUCGUCGUUGUUUUAGGAUUACGAGUUUACAUUUCAACAUGCUCUCGCUGUGGUGUUGAUGUGGCUCUCGUUCUUCCAUUUGCUUUCCGCUGCCAGACUUUAAAGUUAUUUGUUUUGAGCUAACCUGAGGGGUUAUGCAAGCUGUAAGUACUAUGAGUUCUGAAUAUGACGAUAUAAUAAAUUUGCUUGACCUUUGUAUCUCGUAUUUCAUCAUGAAACUAUGUGUGCUGGUGCGUCGAUCUAAGAACUAGCACUGUAAUCACAGAAAUCGAACACUAGCCGGGGGCGGUCGCUUUAUGCAAUGCUCCAUCGAUCAAGCUCUUCCGCUUGAUUUUGCAACAAAAUUAGCUAUGUGCAUCGAUCGAUUGUUGUCUCCUCUUGUUGAUUGCCCCAAGCCCACGAAACAUUCAGUCCACGGUGCGUUGGUCUUCGAGAGAUUGAUCCUUCCACCCAUCCAUAUAUUGCCCCAAGCCCACGAAACACGUGUCUUCUGUUGAAUGUUGGCUACAAAUGGGUACUACACUUUCAGAGGACGACUUGGGCUUUGGAGACUAGAGGGUGUCCUGGUUUCUUCGGAGUUUUGCCCGAGCAUCAUGAUGGCGCCGUGUUGUUAUAUUAUUAUCAUAGGAUUUUUCUGUUGUGUUUUCAAACUCUGUUAGUGGAGUUCUUUAUUACUCUCUCCAUUCUAAAUCAUGGGGCGUUUAACUUUUGGUUACAGUCAAAAUUUCUAAACUUUGACCAACUAUAACAAAGAUUAUCAACAUCUAUGGUACCAAAUUUGACAGUGAAUAUGAUCAUACUUUUUACUGUAUAUAAACUUGGUCAAAUUUUAGAGAAAAUUUGACUGUCAACAAAAGUUAUAUGACUUACAAAGGUGGGUGUAUUUAUGCAAGGGCUUAGGCCCAGGUUCUUUGUACUCUUUAAAGUAGUGUAAGAGCAUCUCUAGUAAGUUUCCUACGACUAAUUUUAGAGAUAGGAGAAAGAAUUAAAAAAUUUACGCUCUCCUCCAAGAGGUUCCCAAAAGAAACAUUGAUAACCAAAUGUUGAACUCCAGUUUCACUAAAAGUUCCAAAAUCCCAUCAAUGUUUCACUACGGUUUCACUCUUGUUCUUUUCUUCUUUUUUUUUACCAAGACGGUUUCACUCUUGUUUCGCAACUACUGCAAAAAAAGACUGAAGCAUCGACGAAAUUUUAAAAUUUUAAUUGAAGCCCUGGUUUCACCAAAAGUUCAAUAAUUGAGGGAGGGGCCGCGGCACGUACUUCUCCAUAAGACCAGUCGAAGAGAUAUUUUUGCCGCGGCACUAGUGAGCAGUAGUAGCCUUCGGUCCAGCUUUCGUUUCGCAUAGCCUCGCCGGCUCUGACGAGUCACGAUCUCUGACAAGACACAACAAUUACCCAUAUCAACAACAAAUAUUCCAUCUAUACCCGCAAAAGGAGAUUCUCGACAUAAAUUAUAAAGCUGUACUUUGUUGAUGUUACUGAUGCUGGCUGGUGAAGAAAGUUUCUCCAUGCUGCUGCUAUGAUAUGCACUGUAUCGCUACAGCUGAAAGCCAUUC